This 439-nucleotide RNase P RNA is filed under the name Flavobacteriales bacterium. RNAcentral's name for it is "RNase P RNA component class A". It matches the Rfam family "Bacterial RNase P class A". From Rfam's summary of the family: Ribonuclease P (RNase P) is a ubiquitous endoribonuclease, found in archaea, bacteria and eukarya as well as chloroplasts and mitochondria. Its best characterised activity is the generation of mature 5'-ends of tRNAs by cleaving the 5'-leader elements of precursor-tRNAs. Lineage: Bacteria; Pseudomonadati; Bacteroidota; Flavobacteriia; Flavobacteriales. The record is from RNAcentral.
CCCGCGCAUCGCUCCGCCGUUCUUUUCCGCAAGGGAAAGGGAGGAAAGUCCGGGCAGCAAAGGGCACCGUGCUUCCUAACGGGAAGGGGCGCCACUGGUGACGGUGGCGCUACGGAAAGUGCCACAGAAAGGGAAACCGCCGAUCGUUGAAGUUGAAGUGGAGGCCCGCCUUCGCAACGGCUUCGGCGAGGCAAGGGUGAAAAGGUGGAGUAAGAGCCCACCAGUGCUUCGUGUGAGCGGGGCAGCUUGGUAAACCCUACGGGCUGAAAGACCAAAUAAGCCGGGGAUCCCGUCUUCGGGCGGGAUAAGGGCGGCCCGCCUGAUCCCGGCGGGUAGGUCGAUCGAGGUUACGCGUGAGCGUGAUCCCAGAUAGAUGGCGGAGCCUUCAUUGCCGCAAGGCAGCGGAGGACAGGAUCCGGCUUACAGGUGCGCGGGUAUU